AUGGCCGCCGAGGCACUCCCGCGGGCCGCCGCGUCGGCGCGCCGGCCGUCCGUGGCCGCCGCUUCCGCCUCGCGCCUCCUCCUCGGCCACCGCCCCUUCCUCGCGCCGUCCGCGUCCCGCUUCGCCGCCGGGCGCGCCGCGGUGGCCGGCCCGGCCGCCAGCCUCCGCCCGCGCCCGCGCAGGCCGCGCCUCUCGGUCGUCGCCAUGGCCGGCAAUGAUCGCCAAGUUCCUUUGGAGGAUUACCGCAAUAUUGGUAUUAUGGCUCAUAUAGAUGCUGGGAAAACAACAACUACAGAGCGCAUUCUCUAUUACACUGGAAGGAACUACAAAAUUGGUGAGGUUCAUGAGGGAACAGCCACAAUGGAUUGGAUGGAGCAAGAACAGGAGAGAGGAAUAACCAUUACAUCUGCAGCAACAACUGCCGUCUGGGACAAACAUAGAAUCAACAUUAUUGACACUCCUGGGCACGUCGAUUUCACUCUUGAGGUUGAACGUGCUCUCAGGGUGUUGGAUGGUGCUAUAUGUCUCUUUGACAGUGUUGCUGGGGUAGAGCCACAAUCUGAAACUGUGUGGCGCCAAGCAGAUAAGUACGGAGUUCCAAGAAUAUGUUUUGUAAACAAAAUGGAUCGCCUUGGAGCUAACUUCUUUAGAACUAGGGACAUGAUAGUGGCAAAUUUGGGUGCAAAACCUUUGGUGAUACAGUUGCCGAUUGGUUCAGAGGACAAUUUCCAAGGAGUUGUUGAUCUAAUAAGAAUGAAGGCUAUUGUAUGGACAGGGGAGGAACUCGGUGCACAAUUUUCAUACCAAGACAUACCUGCUGAUCUCGAAGAGUUGGCUCAAGACUAUAGACUUCAGAUGAUCGAAACUAUUGUUGAAUUGGAUGAUGAAGCUAUGGAGGGCUAUCUAGAAGGAAAGGAACCAGAUGAGGCAACUGUGAAGAGAUUAAUCAGGAAAGGAACAAUAGGUGCCAGCUUUGUCCCCAUUUUAUGUGGUUCAGCCUUCAAAAACAAGGGUGUCCAGCCAUUGCUUGAUGCUGUUGUUGAUUACUUGCCAUCACCACUUGACCUGCCACCAAUGAAGGGUACUGACCCAGAUGACCCGGAAUUGAUUCUUGAAAGACGUCCUAGUGAUGAUGAACCAUUUUCUGGGUUAGCUUUCAAGAUCAUGACUGAUCCAUAUGUGGGGUCACUAACGUUUGUCCGCAUAUACUCAGGGAAGCUGAUCGCUGGCUCAUACGUUCUCAAUUCAAACAAAGAUAAGAAGGAAAGAAUUGGAAGGCUUCUAGAGAUGCAUGCAAACAGUAAGGAGGAUAUAACAGUUGCAGUGACAGGCGAUAUAGUAGCUCUUGCUGGUCUGAAAGAUACAAUUACCGGUGAGACACUCUGUGACCCAGAUAACCUUGUAGUGCUUGAACGUAUGGAAUUUCCUGAUCCUGUCAUUAAGGUUGCUAUUGAACCAAAGACCAAAGCUGAUGCUGAUAAAAUGGCAAAUGGAUUAAUAAAGCUUGCUCAGGAAGAUCCAUCAUUCCACUUCUCUAGAGAUGAGGAAACCAACCAGACAGUUAUUGAAGGAAUGGGCGAAUUACACCUUGACAUCAUUGUAGACAGAUUAAAGAGAGAAUUCAAGGUUGAGGCAAAUGUUGGAGCUCCACAGGUCAACUACCGUGAAAGUAUUUCCAAAAUUGCAGAGAUUCAGUAUGUCCACAAAAAGCAGUCUGGUGGUUCAGGGCAGUUUGCAGAUAUUAUUGUGCGGUUUGAACCUAUGGAGGCUGGAAGUGGGUAUGAAUUCAAGAGUGAAAUUAAGGGAGGGGCAGUGCCAAAAGAAUACGUACCCGGUGUGAUGAAGGGAAUUGAAGAAAGCUUACCUAACGGUGUCCUUGCUGGUUACCCAGUUGUGGAUUUACGAGCAGUGCUGGUUGAUGGCUCCUACCACGAUGUUGAUUCAAGUGUCCUUGCAUUCCAAAUUGCAGCCAGGGGGGCCUUCCGGGAAGGAUUGAGGAAAGCUGGCCCACGACUCCUGGAGCCUAUAAUGAAGGUUGAAGUGAUUACCCCUGAGGAGCAUUUGGGUGAUGUUAUUGGUGAUUUGAACUCUAGAAGAGGGCAAGUUAACAGCUUCGGAGAUAAGCCAGGUGGACUGAAGGUGGUUGAUGCUUUCGUGCCACUUGCCGAGAUGUUCCAGUAUGUCAGCACUCUGAGGGGAAUGUCCAAGGGGCGCGCGUCGUACACAAUGCAGCUUGCCAAGUUCGACGUUGUCCCACAGCAUAUCCAGAACCAGCUUUCUGCGGCAAAAGAGGAAGCUGCUGCUUAA
This 2307-nucleotide ribosomal RNA is filed under the name Triticum aestivum (bread wheat). RNAcentral's name for it is "partial small subunit ribosomal RNA". The record is from RNAcentral. Lineage: Eukaryota; Viridiplantae; Streptophyta; Magnoliopsida; Poales; Poaceae.